This 350-nucleotide RNase P RNA is filed under the name Xanthomonas oryzae pv. oryzicola. Its description in RNAcentral is "bacterial RNase P". It matches the Rfam family "Bacterial RNase P class A". Rfam says of the family: Ribonuclease P (RNase P) is a ubiquitous endoribonuclease, found in archaea, bacteria and eukarya as well as chloroplasts and mitochondria. Its best characterised activity is the generation of mature 5'-ends of tRNAs by cleaving the 5'-leader elements of precursor-tRNAs. Lineage: Bacteria; Pseudomonadati; Pseudomonadota; Gammaproteobacteria; Lysobacterales; Lysobacteraceae. The record is from RNAcentral.
GGAGUCGGCCAGACAGUCGCGUCACUCGCAAGAGUGCCGAGGAAAGUCCGGGCUCCAUAGGGCAAGGUGCCAGGUAACGCCUGGGCGGCGCAAGCCGACGGACAGUGCAACAGAAAGAUACCGCCUACGUUCCUUUCGGGGAGCAGGUAAGGGUGAAAUGGUGCGGUAAGAGCGCACCGCGAGUCCGGUAACGGACCGGCACGGCAAACCCCACCUGGAGCAAGACCAAAUAGGGAUCCAUUGGCGUGGCCCGCGCUGGAUCCGGGUAGGUUGCUUGAGCGCUGCGGUGACGUAGCGCCUAGACGAAUGACUGUCCACGACAGAACCCGGCUUAUCGGCCGGCUCCGCCG